GGAAUAUUGGUCAAUGGGCGAGAGCCUGAACCAGCCAUGCCGCGUGCAGGAAGACGGCCUUCUGGGUUGUAAACUGCUUUUCUACGGGAAGAAAAAGCUUAUGCGUAAGCAAUUGACGGUACUGUAGGAAUAAGCACCGGCUAACUCCGUGCCAGCAGCCGCGGUAAUACGGAGGGUGCGAGCGUUGUCCGGAUUUAUUGGGUUUAAAGGGUGCGUAGGCGGCUUAUUAAGUCAGUGGUGAAAUCUUUCGGCUUAACCGAGAAACUGCCAUUGAAACUGAUGAGCUUGAGUUUGAGUGAGGUAGGCGGAAUUUAUGGUGUAGCGGUGAAAUGCAUAGAUACCAUAAAGAACACCGAUAGCGUAGGCAGCUUACUGGCUCGCAACUGACGCUGAGGCACGAAAGCAUGGGUAUCGAACAGGAUUAGAUACCCUGGUAGUCCAUGCUGUAAACGAUGAUUACUCGCUGUUGGUCUUUAGGGAUCA
Molecule: ribosomal RNA, 483 nt
Filed under: uncultured bacterium
Lineage: Bacteria
Description: bacterial SSU rRNA
Rfam family: Bacterial small subunit ribosomal RNA
Source: RNAcentral